AGCCGAAACACCGGUUUAUCCGGUGUCUACCGUGAGUGGUGUCACGGUACCGAUGAUGGUAGCCACAC
This 68-nucleotide non-coding RNA is filed under the name Sporolactobacillus laevolacticus DSM 442. The record is from RNAcentral. Lineage: Bacteria; Bacillati; Bacillota; Bacilli; Caryophanales; Sporolactobacillaceae.